This 863-nucleotide ribosomal RNA is filed under the name uncultured organism. RNAcentral describes it as "bacterial SSU rRNA". It matches the Rfam family "Bacterial small subunit ribosomal RNA", at positions 33 to 868 of the family's 1533-position model. The record is from RNAcentral.
ACGCUGGCGGCGUGCUUACACAUGCAAGUCGAACGAGAAAUCUUUAGCUCGCUAGAGAAAGUAAAGUGGCGCACGGGUGAGUAACGCGUGGGUAAUCUGCCUCCGAAUCGGGGAUAACAUUGCGAAAGCGAUGCUAAUACCGGAUAAAAUCUGGUUGGCUUCGGUGAACCGGAUCAAAGGUGGUCUCUUUAUAAAAGCUACCGUUUGGAGAUGAGCUCGCGUACCAUUAGCUAGUUGGUGAGGUAAAGGCUCACCAAGGCGACGAUGGUUAGCUGGUCUGAGAGGAUGAUCAGCCACACCGGAACUGGAACACGGUCCGGACUCCUACGGGAGGCAGCAGUGAGGAAUUUUGCGCAAUGGGGGAAACCCUGACGCAGCAACGCCGCGUGAGUGAUGAAGGCUUUCGGGUCGUAAAGCUCUGUCAGGUGGGAAGAACCCACCAAGUGUUAAGACCACUUGGUGCUGACGGUACCACCGAAGGAAGCACCGGCUAACUCCGUGCCAGCAGCCGCGGUAAUACGGGGGGUGCGAGCGUUAUUCGGAAUCAUUGGGCGUAAAGGGCGCGCAGGCGGUUUUGUAAGUCAGAUGUGAAAUCCCGGGGCUUAACCCCGGAAGUGCAUAUGAAACUAUGAGACUUGAGUAUGGGAGAGGGAAGCGGAAUUCCUGGUGUAGCGGUGAAAUGCGUAGAUCUCAGGAGGAACACCGGUGGCGAAGGCGGCUUCCUGGACCAAUACUGACGCUGAGGCGCGAAGGCGUGGGGAGCGAACAGGAUUAGAUACCCUGGUAGUCCACGCAGUAAACGUUGAUCACUAGGUGUAGCGGGUAUUGACCCCUGCUGUGCCGGAGUUAACGCAUUAAGUGAU